CAAUGGCGCAUACAGAGGGAGGCGAGCCCGCGAGGGGGAGCAAAUCCCAAAAAAGGCGUCCCAGUUCGGAUUGUAGUCUGCAACCCGACUACAUGAAGCCGGAAUCGCUAGUAAUCGCGGAUCAGAAUGCCGCGGUGAAUACGUUCCCGGGUCUUGUACACACCGCCCGUCACGCCAUGGGAGUCGGAAAUGCCCGAAGUCGGUGACCCAACCGCAAGGAGGGAGCCGCCGAAGGCAGGUCCGGUAACUGGGGUGAAGUCGUAACAAGGUAAC
This 273-nucleotide ribosomal RNA is filed under the name uncultured bacterium. RNAcentral describes it as "partial 16S ribosomal RNA". It matches the Rfam family "Bacterial small subunit ribosomal RNA", at positions 1228 to 1500 of the family's 1533-position model. The record is from RNAcentral.